This 468-nucleotide ribosomal RNA is filed under the name uncultured bacterium. RNAcentral describes it as "partial 16S ribosomal RNA". It matches the Rfam family "Bacterial small subunit ribosomal RNA", at positions 28 to 507 of the family's 1533-position model. The record is from RNAcentral.
GACGAACGCUAGCGGCGUGCUUAACACAUGCAAGUCGAACGGAAAGGCCCUGCUUUUGUGGGGUGCUCGAGUGGCGAACGGGUGAGUAACACGUGAGUAACCUGCCCAUGACUUUGGGAUAACUUCAGGAAACUGGGGCUAAUACCGGAUAGGAGCUCCUGCUGCAUGGUGGGGGUUGGAAAGUUUCGGCGGUUGGGGAUGGACUCGCGGCUUAUCAGCUUGUUGGUGGGGUAGUGGCUUACCAAGGCUUUGACGGGUAGCCGGCCUGAGAGGGUGACCGGCCACAUUGGGACUGAGAUACGGCCCAGACUCCUACGGGAGGCAGCAGUGGGGAAUAUUGCACAAUGGGCGGAAGCCUGAUGCAGCAACGCCGCGUGCGGGAUGACGGCCUUCGGGUUGUAAACCGCUUUCGCCUGUGACGAAGCGUGAGUGACGGUAAUGGGUAAAGAAGCACCGGCUAACUACGUG